Molecule: ribosomal RNA, 540 nt
Filed under: Entoloma aff. prunuloides Thiers 53901
Lineage: Eukaryota; Fungi; Basidiomycota; Agaricomycetes; Agaricales; Entolomataceae
Description: partial small subunit ribosomal RNA
Rfam family: Bacterial small subunit ribosomal RNA
Source: RNAcentral
CAAGAAUAUUAGUCAAUGCUCGCAAGAGUGAACUAGCUAACUGAAAUCACAUGAGUCACUCUGUUGAUAAUUGUGAUAACGUAAGGGACAAAAAUGAUAUUACCUUACUAUUAGUGUUGUCCAAAACUGGUGCCAGAAGACUCGGUAAGGCCAGAGACGCAAACGUUAGUCGUCUUAAUCAGGCGUAAAGGGUAUGUAGGCUGCUUUAAAAUCAAUUAAAGCUAGGAUCAAAUUGAGGAUAAACCAAAUAAUACUUAGUGUAGGGUUGAUAUCUAUAGAUACUAAGGGGAAUACUAAAGGUGAAAGCUUUUUAUCUAGUAAUGAUUGACGCUGAGAAACGAAGGUGAGAAUAGGAAAUAGGAUUAGAUACCCAGAUACCUCUCACUGUCAACGAUGAAUGGUGGUUGUUAGUUUUUUAAAACUGGUAACGAUGUUAACACGAUAACCAUUCCGCCUUGCGAGUACGGUUGCAAAACUGAAACCAAAAAAAUUAGUCGGUCUCGAAGCAAACGAAGUGAAGCAUGUUAUUUAAUUCGAUAU